This 5562-nucleotide long non-coding RNA is filed under the name Capra hircus (goat). RNAcentral describes it as "lncRNA (ENSCHIG00010012112.1)". The record is from RNAcentral. Lineage: Eukaryota; Metazoa; Chordata; Mammalia; Artiodactyla; Bovidae.
UUCAUGUGGACCAUUUUAAAAAACGAUACUUUAUUGAAUUUCUUACAAUAUUGCUUCUGUUUCAUGUUUUGUUUUUUUGACUGCAAGACAUGUGGAAUCUUAGCUCCCUGACCAGGGAUUGAACCCAUAUUCCUGCAUUAGAAGGUGAAGUCUUAACCACUCGUCCACCAGGGGAGUCCCCCUCUCUCUCUCUUAGAUUGAGUAUUGAUUAAAAGUUGUUGACCAGGCCCUCGAUGACUUGUUCCCAGAUUCUUGUUCUUUGUUUCAGAGCCCAAGUUUGUCUCUCAUCCUGGGCGCUGUUCACGGACACACUCUGUACUUGCCCUCUGGUCGUGCCCCUGCUCAUCCCUGACCUGCCCUUUGCCCCAGGGCCCAUCUGCUGAAAUUCCACCAGGGUUCUGUCCCUUCUGGUUCCACAUGGCAAGUGUUUUUUUUUUUUUUUAAUUGUAAAAUGCAGAUAAUAUAAAAUUUAUCAUCUUAACUGUUUUGUGGCUCACCAAGGGACUGAAAUUGCCCCUUUUGUCGGGAACAGUAACUUUAGGGCAAAAUUUAGAGCAAACCUCAGUUUUUCUCACCCUUUCAUUUAAAAUAAAUCUGGGUACCAUGAAACUUCCUGAGGAACAGUACAGAAUUACAACACAACGCUGCUGUGCAGAGAUGACUAGCCUGGUGUUUCCAGUCAACCUUGGUCUAGUGGAUCAAACACAAACCGCAGGAGAGGCUGGAAAAUUCCUGCUUGGUAUUUCUUCCCUGAGGACUCAGAAAAUACUGCCACUGCUGUGUCCUAAAUACAGAGAAUGUUUUCUUGGACUGGGGUUUUCCCAGCAUGCCCAGGUAAUAAUACACUAUUCCAGAUGGACUUCUCUGAAUCCGUCUGAAUAUUCAAGAUGACAUAUACUAGUGAUUUAGGCAUGAUUUUAACUGAUACUAAUAGGCAAAGCCUGGGUUUCAUGGCUUUAUAUCAGUGUUUUGAAUUCCUCAGCUUUUCCUAGUUAAACCGCCUGUCUUCGUGGCAUGAGGCUGUGCACCCAUGCAGAGCCCCAUGCCUAGCACAGCCCUGUGCCUGGUUUAAUGCCCCGCUUUCAUCNNNNNNNNNNNNNNNNNNNNNUCUGAACAUGUUUAUUUGGGACUGGUACCACACAUUAUGUAACUGGUCCUGCCUGCUGUGGUAGAUCUGAGGUACAGCUUGAGAUUUUGCAUUUCUGGCUGAAUCCCAGGUGAUGACCGUUUUACAGCUUGUUCUGUUCUCAGUUUAUUUAGGCUUAAAUUAACUUUCUCUGGAGAAAGAACUUUCUGUGAGGGGUGCCUAGGGACUUGACUCCAAAUGGAUCAAACACAAGCUCAGGCUCUCUGGUUCCUCUCUUCCAGGGAUACCGGGUGAUGAUUGGAAUAGCUUUUAUUAUUGUUUUAGUUGAGAUAUCAUUAGCAUAUAGCAUGACAUUAGUUUCAGGUGUACAGUGCAAUGAUUUGAUAUUUGUAUAUAUUGUGCAAUGAUCAUCAAGAUAAGUCUAGUUACCACCCAUCACCAUACACAAUGACAAUUUUUUUGUGUGUGAUGACAACUUUGACAUACUUACAUGUGGAAUCUAAAAAAUAAAAUAAACCUGAGUAUAACAAAAAAGACUCACAGUUAAAGAGAACAAAUUAGUGAUUACCAGUAGGGAGAGAGAAGGGAGGAAAGGGCAUGAUAGCAGUAGAGGAUUGAGAGGUACAAACUACUCUGUAGGAAAUAAGCUAUAAGGAUGCACAGGAAAUAGAGCCAGUAUUUUAUAAUGACUAUAAAUGGCAUAUACUUUUUAAAAAUUGUGAAUCUCUGUGUUGGACAUCUGAAACUUAUGAAAUAUUAUACAUCAAUUAUACCUCAAUUUAAAAAUAUAAAAAUAAAAUAUCCAUUCACCCCUGUGUUAACCGUAGCAUAUUUGCAACAGCCAAGAUAUGGACAGCAUCUAAAGCACCUUAAAGUCCAUCAGUGAGUGAAUGGAUAAAGAUGAUGUGGAAUAAUGGAAAUACAUUUUGUAAUGUAUUACCCUAAAAAAAUUACCUUUUUACUAGUUAGUUAAAAAAAUUAAUUAUUUCAUUCAUUCACUUUUUCAAUAAGCACUGAAGUCCUAUUACAUGCCAGAUACCUUGCUUAGUGCUAGAUGUUUAAAGUCAAAUGAGACAGAAAUUGUUACAAUCUAGGGUUGAAGACAGACCAAGAAAACCAUCAAAACACCCCCCCCCCAAAACCAAAUAACAGAAAAAGUAAACCGAUAAACGANNNNNNNNNNNNNNNNNNNNNNNNNNNNNNNNNNNNNNNNNNNNNNNNNNNNNNNNNNNNNNNNNNNNNNNNNNNNNNNNNNNNNNNACCAGGCUCCUCCAUCCGUGGAAUUUUCUAGGCAAGAGUACUGGAGUGGGGUGCCAUUUAGGAAAGAAGUAGUAGCCAUGGUAGGCCACCCAGAGUAGUCAGAGAAGGCCAUCCUGAAGAGGAAUUUCAAGUGAGAGGCGCAGGAAAGACGGAAGCAGCAUGGGUGGGAAGCAUGUUCUGGGCAAAGGCAAUACCACAUACCUAAAGACUAGAGUUUGACUCAUUGGUGGGACUGAGGGAAGACCAAUGUGGCUAGAGAGCAGAGAGCUGGGAGGGUGUGGCAUGAGAUGAGACCAGAACAUGACCAGGGACCAGGUCUGCUGAAGAGUUUUAAGUAGAAGGGACACAUGAUCGGAUUAUGGUUUGCGACCAUCAGUCUGUGUGCUAGAGAAACAGGCUUCUUUUGCCUGUGACAGUCCUAGUUGAUUCCUGUCAUCCUGGCAUAAUUAUUACUAAUGCCCCUUUUCCUUCUGGAAAGUGACUUGGAUUAGAUGAUAAGUUAUUCAGCCAACUUAAGCAGAAGGGGAAACCAUGAAGAUGGCGAGACUAGUCAGGCAGUGGCUGCAGGAACCCAGGUGAGAAAUGGUGCUGGAGGUGCACAUGAGAGCAGACUGAUGGAUUACAGAGGAAAUCUGGAAAUAGAAUCGCAGGACUUGCUAGUGGAUCGGAUGUGGGGUAAAGGGAAGGGACGCAUCAAGCAUAUAUCUCAAUUUCUGGGCUGAGUAACAGAGGGAACAGUGAUGUCAUCUGCUGAAAUGGAGGUGAAAAGUUCUGGAGGCAGAUGAGAGUUCCCUUUGGGACAUGCUGAGUGUGAGAUCUCUGGAAGCCAUCCAAGCAGAGGUGUCUAGAGGUCAGUCGGAUAUUCAAGCACAGAGCUGGGAAACCAGGUUUCUGAGUGGGGGAGGUGUAAUUUUCAGAACCAUCAGUGUAUAGGUGCUAUUUCCUGCACUUGGAGAAAAUUUAGAGACAUAAACGGUGAGAGUCCUGGGGUGGGAAGGGGUAGGAGGUGGGAGGGAGGUUAAAGAGGGAGGGGACACAUGUAUACCUGUGGCUGACUCAUGGUGAUGAAUUGUGGAGGCCAACACAAUAUUGUGGAGCAAUUUUCCUUCAAUUAAAUAAGUUUGGGGGAAAAAAAGAGAGAGAAAAAAAAAAAACCUUAAAAAAAAUGAGAACCCAGAACCAAGUCUGAGGGACCCUUAGAGUUUAGGGAGAUGAAAAGACCCAGCUAAGGGGAUAAAGGAAAAUUAAAGGGAAAACAAAAGAAGGGUAUGGUAUUAUGAAGCCAAGAGAGAACCUUCCAGAAAGGAGGAAGAGGACAACUGUGCUGAGUGUGGCUCAGAGCCUUCCUGAUAUGAGACAGGAACUUGUCAACUGUCUUGGCACCACGGAGGUCAGCGGUGACCAGAGCUGUUUUGCUGAGUGGUGGGGACAGAGAUCAGGCUGGUGUGGGUUCUAGUGUGAGUCAGAAGAGAGGAAGCAAGAAGUGCAGAUGGGCAGACUCUCAAGUUUGACGAUAAAGAGGAAGAGGAAAAGGUGCCAGAGUGAAGAGUGACAUGGACUGAAGUCUGGGUUUUCAAUGUGGGAANNNNNNNNNNNNNNNNNNNNNNNNNNNNNNNNNNNNNNNNNNNNNNNNNNNNNNNNNNNNNNNNNNNNNNNNNNNNNNNNNNNNNNNNNNNNNNNNNNNGAAGAGUGACAUGGACUGAAGUCUGGGUUUUCAAUGUGGGAAUUUAUUAAGGAAUCAGAUAGAGAGGGUCUGGACUCUGAGGUGUGGCAUGUAUCAUGAGGAGCAAGCACGUUUUCCUCACUGAGCUGAAUGUCCCCAGGUGUCCUGUGCAGGACAAGAGCGCCCAGGAGCUGGGCGGAAGGGAAGCACUAACCAGGAAGUGCUUUCUCCGGCAACGUCCCUCCAGCACCCCAAACUGCAGAGAUUAGCACUGUGGCCAGCUGGCACCGGGGGUGUGUUCACAGGGUCCAGCUCCAGAAUGACAAGCCAGGCAAAGAAGGGUAGGUGUGGAGCUCAGAGUAAAUGAACACACACUUCUACUCUGAACGUGGGACUGAGGAGCUCUCCCGAGGGGAGAAGAUUAAUGAGAAAAUGAUCUCUAGAGAGGAAAGACAUGUUGAAUUUCCCUGUCAAGGAGGAAGAAAAAGUGUGGAUAUAAGGUAGUCACAAGAGCGCUUUCUCAUACAGGUCCCAUCAGAAGGCCUUGUCAGAGAUGUAGGUAGAUGAAGUUUAAGGAGGAUUAUGGCUGUAUCUCAGAAAAGUGAGUCUCUGACUAGACAAAGCAGGCGAAAGUUAACUGGGAUUAAGGAGAAUGUGGCUGCCCAUCAGCUGCUGAGAACAGGCUCAAAGAUCUGCUGAGUUUAGGGUUUCAAUGGUAGAGUCUGAAUGGACCCCAGGUUGUAAGCAGCCUUUUAUGAGAUUGUUCACUGUUAGAUUUCUAUCCCAGGUGCUGAAGGUCUAAAAUUUUCAAAAUGAGGGGAAAGAAAGGAAACAUUAGAGAAAGGAUGAUUGGCAAGUUUGGAUUAACAAGCUUUCCAAAUUUUUGUAAAAGGGAAAAAUACGUGUAUUAUUACUUGAGAUGAAAGUUGGAUGCAGAAGUCUAUUCACCAUUCUUUAAGAUUUUAGAUCAUUUUACUUCUUGGAAUCUGAAAAAUUCCUAAACAUCAAAUCUGAAAACAAAACGAACUGAACACCGAAACCAACGUUUUUAUCUGAGAAAGAAGUUUCUUGGUUUUGUAGGAAUAUAUGAUUUACAGAAUCACUCAUAAUUCCUGUGCUCUAACAGACCCAUGCAACCCACUCCAGGAUUCUUGCCUAGAGAAUCCCAUGGACAGAGGAGCNNNNNNNNNNNNNNNNNNNNNNNNNNNNNNNNNNNNNNNNNNNNNNNNNNNNNNNNNNNNNNNNACAGACCCAACUCCCUUCCAUUAGAGACAAUGUUUUCCUCAGUAAGAGGUAACUGCUGCUGGCUUCCCUGGGUUGAGAAAGGACCAGGAGGGGAAAAUGACUUCCUCUCAAGGACAUGAAUCAUAUCCAACACAAAAGCCGCCUGGCUCUGAAUUUUGAUGUUGUCACUAUUCCUCCACUUCUUGACACGUUUGUUGCUGGGAACGUGUAGAAGGCAAGGAAACAGAGGGAAGGGAGCAGCACUGGAGGCGGUUCCGGAGGCACAGACAGAGAGUGGCUCGUGGCUGGACUUGUAGGUGCUGCUGAG